This 208-nucleotide ribosomal RNA is filed under the name uncultured Mesotoga sp. RNAcentral's name for it is "partial 16S ribosomal RNA". It matches the Rfam family "Bacterial small subunit ribosomal RNA", at positions 568 to 775 of the family's 1533-position model. Lineage: Bacteria; Thermotogati; Thermotogota; Thermotogae; Kosmotogales; Kosmotogaceae. The record is from RNAcentral.
AGCGUAGGUGGCCUAACAUGUCAACUGUGAAAACCCGGAGCUCAACUCCGGACUUGCAGUUGAAACUGGUAAGCUUGAGGACGGUAGAGGAAGACGGAACUGCCAGUGUAGGGGUAAAAUCCUUAGAUAUUGGCAGGAACGCCGGUGACGAAGGUGGUUUUCUGGGCCGGUUCUGACACUGAUGCUCGAAAGCCAGGGGAGCGAACGG